Molecule: long non-coding RNA, 264 nt
Filed under: Panax ginseng (ginseng)
Lineage: Eukaryota; Viridiplantae; Streptophyta; Magnoliopsida; Apiales; Araliaceae
Description: long non-coding RNA (PGIN_LNC017443)
Source: RNAcentral
CAUUUUGUUUGAAAAGAGGCGGAUUUUUCUUUUUCUCUCUUUGCAAUGGUAUGUAUCUCUCUAAGAUGGAAUCUUUUGUUUAUAAAGUGGGAUUGAAGAUGGAAAAAACUAUCAACAUAAGGAGGGACGGAGGGAUGGACGGUUGAGCAGGAUUUCCUAUGGAGGGAGUGGUAGAGAGAGAAAGCUACAGUCUAGAAUCUGAAUCGAACAGGGAGAAGAGCGAAAGACAGAGAGGAUCUCUUGUUUCUAGAUCCAUCGGAAUUC